This 395-nucleotide ribosomal RNA is filed under the name uncultured bacterium. Its description in RNAcentral is "bacterial SSU rRNA". It matches the Rfam family "Bacterial small subunit ribosomal RNA", at positions 28 to 419 of the family's 1533-position model. The record is from RNAcentral.
GACGAACGCUGGCGGCGUGCUUAAUACAUGCAAGUCGAACGAUGAAAGCUGGAGCUUGCUCCGGCUGGAUUAGUGGCGAACGGGUGAGUAACACGUGAGUAACCUGCCCCUCACUCUGGGAUAACCUCGGGAAACCGAAGCUAAUACCGGAUACGACCCUCGGAGGCAUCUCCAAGGGGUGGAAAGAAUUUCGGUGAGGGAUGGACUCGCGGCCUAUCAGGUAGUUGGUGAGGUAACGGCUCACCAAGCCGACGACGGGUAGCCGGCCUGAGAGGGUGACCGGCCACACUGGGACUGAGACACGGCCCAGACUCCUACGGGAGGCAGCAGUAGGGAAUAUUGCACAAUGGGCGCAAGCCUGAUGCAGCAACGCCGCGUGAGGGACGACGGCCUGG